This 252-nucleotide ribosomal RNA is filed under the name uncultured bacterium. RNAcentral's name for it is "partial 16S ribosomal RNA". It matches the Rfam family "Bacterial small subunit ribosomal RNA", at positions 524 to 776 of the family's 1533-position model. The record is from RNAcentral.
UACGUAGGGGGCUAGCGUUAUCCGAAAUUACUGGGCGUAAAGGGUGCGUAGGUGGUUUCUUAAGUCAGAGGUGAAAGGCUACGGCUCAACCGUAGUAAGCCUUUGAAACUGGGAAACUUGAGUGCAGGAGAGGAGAGUGGAAUUCCUAGUGUAGCGGUGAAAUGCGUAGAUAUUAGGAGGAACACCAGUUGCGAAGGCGGCUCUCUGGACUGUAACUGACACUGAGGCACGAAAGCGUGGGGAGCAAACAGG